GCCAUUCUGGGGGGAGGGCCACUGGGCUCCCCAGCCUGGGAGGAGACUGUGGGCCCCCAGCCUGGGGCAGGAGGCGUGAGGGUCCCCAGCCUGGGAGGAGGCCAUUGGGAUCCCCAGUCUGGGAGGAGACUGUGGGCCCCCAGCCUGGGGUGGGAGGCGUGAGGGUCCCCAGCCUGGGGGGAGGGCUGCAGGGGGGGGCCAUUCUGGGGGGAGGGCCACUGGGCUCCCCAGCCUGGGAGGAGACUGUGGGCCCCCAGCCUGGGGCAGGAGGCGUGAGGGUCCCCAGCCUGGGAGGAGGCCAUUGGGAUCCCCAGUCUGGGAGGAGACUGUGGGCCCCCAGCCUGGGGCGGGAGGCGUGAGGGUCCCCAGCCUGGGAGGAGGCCAUUGGGAUCCCCAGUCUGGGAGGAGGGCUGUGGAGGUCCUCAAGCUUGCAGGGAGGCCUCAGGGGUCCCCAGCAUAUUUGGGGGUCUGCGUGCUGGAAGAGGGUUUUACAAAAGAGGCAAAGUGUUCUACCUCUAGAUUUUUUCCAUUUUUUUUUCCCCGUACAUCAAAACAUCUCAAAAUGGAGGCCUAACACCCUUAAAAGGGACUUAGUCUGAUCUCCGGGAGGUAGUUUUGUGCAUGAAGAAACAAAUUAAGUGUGAACUGGAGUUUUUAUUAUCCCAAAGGAUGUUAAUUUUAAGCAAUACAGUCUAGUGGCAUGAGGUGUAACUACGAAGUCAUGAUGAUCUCGUCUUUGAAUUUGACUGGUGGAUAUAAAGGGAAGUGAUUGUAGCCAGAACAGAACAGAGAGAAGGAACUUGUGUUUGGUAAGACCUGAAAAUGAGCAACAGUUAUCUAGAACAAUAUUCACCCCUCUACUAAGUUAGAGAAGCACGCAGGUGAGGCCUCUGACAGGUCAAGAGACUUCCAUGGUGACAAAGAAAUGUCCAGAACAAGACUUUGCGGUGCCCCAAGUGUCGAGUAUGGCACACUAGCAUGGACGAUUGGUAAAGGAAUGAUCUAAGCACUUAUCUGAAUGUGCAUGUGUUAAAAGUCUCAAGUUCGGCUUGUUUGAAUGGGCUGUUAUCUCUGAGAAGGAUGACGGUGAGAAUGAUGGCUGGAUGGUCCAUUUUGGGAAAAGAACAGACGCACGCAGACACAGUGACUAGCCCCGGAAGGGUUUCUGCAGUAAUGUGUAAAAUUUUUGUCCACUGCUGAUGUUAGACACAAUAACUGAUCUCUGGAACAGAGCUACGUUUCUUAUAUCACCUGGAAGUAAAGAGCCAAAGUCGCAGCGGAAACCCCAACACCUGUGGGACCCAGGAAACUGCGCAGAAAUCACGGCUAGAGAAGCCACGAAGACCCGUUUGCAGAUUGUUGUUCAUGUUACUGACACAGAAACUUUUUAUUGAUAGCUGGUCGUAAUUGAGGAACUCUGAACUUUCACAAGGUCUCUGUUUGGCAAAAGGAGGGGAUUGCGACAACGUAAAUUCAUUAUUUUCUUGUUGCGAUGAAUUCUGGCUCAAGGUAUGCUGUCUUGGGGAUUUCUGACCAAAGCCACAUUUUUACACUUCGAUUAUUCAUCUUAGUAUACAGACUCAGCCCUCUGACUUUUGACUGUUUUAAGAAACAAAUCCAUUGUCAGAAUAGAUUUGGUAGUGUCUUUCAACAGCGUGAAGCUGAGCCUAAAAAGACCAGUUGAACAAACACAUUCUUCUCUGAGGAUUUAUUUGAAAUACAGUAUUCAGUUUGCUAAGUUCUGCUGGAAUCACUAGGACUAAGUAAGCAAGCCUCUGACUAUGGGAAGUAAUUGUCGUUCAGGUAAUUUUGAAACAGGACUUAAGAUGCAUCAGCCAAUUCUGUUCCCACUUCAGCUCUUCAUUUGUAGGAAAAUUCUAGAUCGUUUUGUUUUCCCUAUUACAAAUAUUCUAGGAAGAAAAAUUACUUAAUUUGAGCACGAUUUGGGAUAGAUUGUAUUCCAUCGCAUCUAAGAUGUCACUAAUUGGAAAACACACCAUUAUUUUAUGUAGUUCCAAGAAAUAAAAGCCCUGCUAAUUAAAAUACGGUAUUUGUU
Molecule: long non-coding RNA, 2056 nt
Filed under: Felis catus (domestic cat)
Lineage: Eukaryota; Metazoa; Chordata; Mammalia; Carnivora; Felidae
Description: lncRNA (ENSFCAG00000048564.1)
Source: RNAcentral